GGGGGUUUGCCAAAGUGCAAAAGAGGCCAUCUGAGAAAUGUUGUGCUUGGGUCAAUUUUUUAGCUCGUGGGUGCAGCGAAGAAACAGCUCGACCAGUUCUAAAUAUACCAUCCUUGACAGACGUGAAAUAAGUCCACUGAUUGAAAUAGCUGCCUAGUUCCCAGUUUGAGAUCUUACUGUAUAACAUCAGCGCUUGGCUGCCCCUCUGGUAAACUUGGAGAAGAACCGAUUUCCAUUUUGCUCCUUUUGAAAUGAAAGGCGUUUGAGGAUUGUCAUUCAGCAGGAAUGUACCAAUUCUAAGAACUUCUAAACAAGGCUCGCUUCAUAAUGAAUGGCAGCGGGAGCCUGGAUUUAUGAUCAUUUAAGCAAAUAUGGUAGGAAGGAAAGUAUCAAGGUUACCGACUGGAUUCCUGGAGCAGAUGAGUAGACCUUCAUGGCCAGACAACAGAGCAAGCUGACGAAGUCCAUGUAGCCAACUCUGCAGUCAAAACCAAAGUGCUGGGACUCAGAAGGUCUCGCUUGUUAAUUUGACUGUGUGUAAACAAAGAAAUGCUGUUGGCCCUAUUAAUCUCAGCGCAGGCCUGAGGGAUAAUGGCAGAUGACUCAUGGACCAGACACCAGUGACAACGCAUUACUCCGUGUCUGUUGGCCAAGUGCUACUGACUGAAAUCACUGGCUCUACCUCAAUUCACUGCAGCAAAGUGUCUGGUCUUGCUUGGAUUUGCUUGAGAAAUGACCUUUAUUUUUCUUAUCCACAUUCUCACCUUAUGCAGUCUCCAUGUGUGUGCCAAAGUCACCUCCCCUGCAAGGGUGGACAGAUUUAGAGAUGCUCAAAAUGGCACAGUGAGGGUGUGUGGUUUGCUCUCCUGCUUUUGCUUAACUGGCCAGCAAGUGAACUCGGAGUAAGCAGGUCAGCUCAGGAACAAAGAAGAAGGACCUGAAGAGAUCAAAAUAACAGUAAAUGUCACAAAAAUUAUUUUUCUUAACAUGUAAAAACAGCAAAUGCCCCAUUUUGUAACCUGGAAGAAGUGGACUUCAGGCUGUGUUCCUCCAGACACAAACAGGCAUCCUUUGGAGGUUCACAGACAUCUCUUAUCUCCAUAAAACUCCUAGAGAGCAUCCAGAGGAGGGCUAAGAAGAUGGUGAAGGUUCUGGAGGAUUCUUUCCAACUCAAGGUAUUCUGUGAUCCUAAAAGAGGGGCAGCAGCCAGCAAGGAUGGAAUCAUCACAAAGGGGAGAAAUUGCACUUAAUGGGAGGCAGCCAGGGUGCUUGGUGCACUUAUCACACUUGCCUGCAUCAUACUGCUUUCUCCUCUGCCUCUGCUUUUCCACAUGAGGACUCUGCUACGUGAAGGCCAAGGAGAUUUGCCAGUUGUGGCUAAAAUUUCUCCAUCACUGUUGCUCUGAGCUAAAAAUAAAUGAAUAAAUAAAUCAUCAGAAUCAGCGAGCACCCACCUGAUGCACUGCACUUCAGUAAAGUUGUCUGUGCUCUGAGCUGAGAUUCAGCCCACUCCUGUUUCUGCCUUUCAUGGGCCCUCUUCAUGGAUGACAACCUAGGCAUACUCCAGGCUCUUACUAGUUGGAUCCUUGUGCCCUGCUUAUCCUGCUCAUGCCAUGGGACCACAGCCAUACAGAAAUCCAACCUUUAAUGGAUGUUUUGAGAUGAUUCCUGCUGGAGGACAAAAGAUCAUCGAAGGUAUUCAUUUUGGCUUUUUCCCCACUAAUUGCUGUCCUGAACCCAAAGUGCCUCCAGCACAGAGGAGAGUGAUAGAAGCAGCAAGAAAAUGUAGUGUACAACCUGAAAGAAAUGGAAAAACAGAUCAGACUGUUCUUAAAAUUAAAAGACUGACCAAAAUAUCCCGAUGAGCCAUGAAAUCACUAAUGAGUCACAUCACA
This is a long non-coding RNA of Gallus gallus (chicken), 1895 nucleotides long. The record is from Ensembl. Lineage: Eukaryota; Metazoa; Chordata; Aves; Galliformes; Phasianidae.